CACGUAGGGUGCGAGCGUUGUCCGGAAUUAUUGGGCGUAAAGAGCUCGUAGGCGGUUAGUCGCGUCUGCUGUGAAAACUCGGGGCUUAACUCCGGGCCUGCAGUGGGUACGGGCUGACUAGAGUGCGGUAGGGGAGACUGGAAUUCCUGGUGUAGCGGUGAAAUGCGCAGAUAUCAGGAGGAACACCGGUGGCGAAGGCGGGUCUCUGGGCCGUAACUGACGCUGAGGAGCGAAAGCGUGGGGAGCGAACAGG
RNAcentral lists this ribosomal RNA (253 nucleotides) under uncultured bacterium. Its description in RNAcentral is "partial 16S ribosomal RNA". It matches the Rfam family "Bacterial small subunit ribosomal RNA", at positions 524 to 776 of the family's 1533-position model. The record is from RNAcentral.